Non-coding RNA from Macaca mulatta (Rhesus monkey), 1052 nucleotides. Lineage: Eukaryota; Metazoa; Chordata; Mammalia; Primates; Cercopithecidae. The record is from RefSeq and is a predicted model, not a curated record.
UCCCAUUUGCAAUUCUCUGUGUUACUUUUUCAGUGACCAUAGAAGCUGUGUGUGGAACGCGGUAGAGCCACAGGAUGGAAAGGUAUCAGUUCCCUAAUCAAAGAGAAGAGCCGACUACCAAUCGGGAACACCCAUUUUGGACUUUAGGUGAAGCUUCAUCAAAUCACAUCAUGUGACUCUCCAGGAACCUCACUGAACGGGUCUGACUCAUCGUCUGGGAAUUUUAAAUAGGCAUGUGCUUCCAUGAGAGUUAAUACUUAAAAAUACACAUACACACAAACUGGCAGUGAAAGAGAGCAAAAAAAGAAAAAAAAAAAAAGAAAAAGAAAAAAACAAGUGAAGCUUUUGCUUGGCACAAACACUCAGGUCAGACACUGGCCACUCAAUAUUUCACAGUUAAUUACCAGGUGGAAUUACCUUUAGAGUGAAGGUGGUGGCUCAGUGCUCAGGGGGCAGAGGCAGUAAAUCUACAGUUUAUAUCAUUAAGUCAGGCAGGUUGGAUUAAGCAGUGAAAGGGACUGCCCCUGAAAUCGUUGACCCUGAUUCCCCUCUGUGAUAUAAAAUUUUCCUGAGAACCAAGGGCUGUGUCUGCCCACUAGUGGUCAGGUGGCAGAGCUGGUGGGACCCAGACAUUCCCUAGAGGAUUUUAUGCCAAGUUCUAUCUGGAUCAGUUGGGAGUUGGCCCUGGCCUCCCAGUCUGCUUUUUAAAAAGCAUUUUGAGAUCUAUCAGCUCAGCCCCAUGAGAUAAGUCAGUAAGAAUAACACAGCCUAUGUCAAUCUUGAGGGAAGGUUUCUGUUUGUGAUAGUUACCUUAAACUCUUAUUAAUGAUGAGUAAUUGCACUAGGAACUAACAUUUCUAAUCUAUUACCAAAAGAUCACUUGAGUCAGUAACACUCAGUAAAGACUAAUCACUUUUUUCUCUCUUCCCAGACCUUCAUAGAAUACCACAAUGAUGUUUUUCUAUUUGAAAACUACGAAAUGUUCUCCCAUCGUUAAAAGAAUUAAUUUAUAAAAUUUUAAGUUAGAAUUAAAAGUCUUUUACUUAAUUGGC